UUUCCGGCUUGCAAAGAAAUUUCCGAGGUUUAAGCCUCCACUUCCCUUUCCUGGAGUAAGCACACAGUGACACAGAACCAAGGGCUGUGCCUUGGGCAGCACUGAAUCCCUGCCAUGGUCGCUUUGGUCAAAUGCUCCCUCCCACCCUGGCCCACGGACUCCUUCCCAGACACAGUUGUAGACUCUUGCCUUAGGACCUGGGAAGCCAGCCAAGGGACUGCUCCUGCGAGGUGCUCAGCAGCUACUGAGAACUGAAGAGCCACAUGGGAAGUGAUACCAGCAUGGAAGCCAGUCAGCCCCUCUGCUUUGCCAAAGCCAUCCUCUCCCUGUGGAACUAACUUGGAAUUAACAUUGGCUUUCAGUGUAACAGACAUUACUCCAGGCAUCAAGAAUUUCCUGUGGAGUAUCUGUGGAAACAAGGGGAUAACUGCCAGGAAAAGAAAAAAAAAAAGGUGUUUCUCUCUUUUCUACUUUUUAAAAAUUAAUUUAAUCCCUGAAAUGAAACCAAACAGUUCUUUUAACAAUGGCCGGUUAUGCUUUAGUUUCCUACUCCUAUCAAUAAAAAGAGAAGGGAAUGCAAAUAUUUUUUUCACAUACUUUUAAGCAAUACAGAUGAGGGAAAAUAUGGACAAU
Molecule: long non-coding RNA, 633 nt
Organism: Hyaena hyaena (striped hyena)
Lineage: Eukaryota; Metazoa; Chordata; Mammalia; Carnivora; Hyaenidae
Exons: 3
Source: RefSeq, a predicted model, not a curated record